AGCGAACGCUGGCGGCAGGCUUAACACAUGCAAGUCGAGCGGGCACUUCGGUGUCAGCGGCAGACGGGUGAGUAACACGUGGGAACGUACCCUUCGGUUCGGAAUAACGCUGGGAAACUAGCGCUAAUACCGGAUACGCCCUUUUGGGGAAAGGUUUACUGCCGAAGGAUCGGCCCGCGUCUGAUUAGCUCGUUGGUGGGGUAAUGGCCUACCAAGGCGACGAUCAGUAGCUGGUCUGAGAGGAUGAUCAGCCACACUGGGACUGAGACACGGCCCAGACUCCUACGGGAGGCAGCAGUGGGGAAUAUUGGACAAUGGGCGCAAGCCUGAUCCAGCCAUGCCGCGUGAGUGAUGAAGGCCUUAGGGUUGUAAAGCUCUUUUGUCCGGGACGAUAAUGACGGUACCGGAAGAAUAAGCCCCGGCUAACUUCGUG
This 433-nucleotide ribosomal RNA is filed under the name uncultured bacterium. RNAcentral describes it as "partial 16S ribosomal RNA". It matches the Rfam family "Bacterial small subunit ribosomal RNA", at positions 29 to 507 of the family's 1533-position model. The record is from RNAcentral.